UAAAUUUUAUGUAUGCUAUAAAUACGUACCAUAUGUUUUGGUCGCAUAUUAUCGUGGCUAGUUUUCAACCGUAUAUAGCGACAACACUGUUAAUUCCAUGGAUUGAGAACUUGUACUUUAUGUGUUCCUGCCAUAUAUACAAGAUAUCAGAGUAGCGAAGCUUAUCCAAAGCAUAAAUGCUACAUAAUUUGAGUCUAGAGAAGCUAGCAGGAGGUAAAGACAUGAAGCCUGUACUAUCAACAAAAGUUGUUCUUCUAAUAGUAUUCUUAGUUAUAUGCUACUUUUCAUCAUCUCUUAUUGGAGGGCAUGCAAGAAGUGUAAGGACAGACCCUUUUGGAAUUCAUGCUACUCAUCUUGGUCAAGAAAAUCUUGUUAAUUCAGAAAAACAGGAGAAACUUAAAGAUGAUGAGGGAGAUCUGGUCUCAAUGGAUUAUACAGCACCUAGAAGAAAACCACCGAUUCAUAACUAGAGUUGUCAAAUUUAAUGAGCAUGUGCAUUGUGUCGGGAUUUGUACUUAUUAUGGUCUUGCAUGGGUCACUUCUUUUGAUUUGUGAAAGCAACGUUAAUAUAUUAAGUAUAUUAUUUUGUAUUAAUAAUUAGUAGAGGAGUGAAGACCGUUGCUAUA
Molecule: long non-coding RNA, 626 nt
Organism: Glycine soja
Lineage: Eukaryota; Viridiplantae; Streptophyta; Magnoliopsida; Fabales; Fabaceae
Exons: 2
Source: RefSeq, a predicted model, not a curated record